This 2190-nucleotide unclassified non-coding RNA is filed under the name Hevea brasiliensis (rubber tree). Lineage: Eukaryota; Viridiplantae; Streptophyta; Magnoliopsida; Malpighiales; Euphorbiaceae. The record is from RNAcentral.
CAAGAAUAAAGUUAGUUAAUUAAAAAAGAUAAAGGCAUCACAUCCACGAAAAAAUAUAUAUGUACGUAGGACACGUGUAAGAUACCGACAACAAAGAGACUCACGGCUUUCAACAACCACUUUUCUCAAAUGAGAGACAGUAUCUACGUGUAUAUAUAUACAGACACACACUGACAUCCAGUGGCGAAGUUCGGCUCUGAUGAAAAAAAAAAAUAAAAACAUGUGGCCCACAAGCACAAAACAAAAAAUGAAAAUGCCCAUCCGCCCAAAAUUGGAGUGGAAGAGCUACCACUUACCACUUCAGACCCUUCUGCAAAACUCUAGAGUUUUGAACCCAACCCUUCUGCCAUUAAUUUCUCCGUCUCUUUAGUCUUUUAAUAGAGCUGGACUUGGCACAGCAGAAGGAAAAAAAUUUAAAACAUGGCGAUGGCAUCAAGAGAACGAAGAAAGGAAGAGAUUCUUUAAAUAAAAAAAAAAACUCUGAGGGUUUUACCCUUACAUGCGCCAGACAUAUACAUACACACCCUCCAUCGCAUAUAUAUAUAUAUGUUCUAAAGAGAUUGUCUACUGUUCUUUCUGGAAAAUAAUAUUAGAACCCCAGAAAAAGAAAGAAAAAUCUAACAUUAAGUGAAAAAGAAAAAUCCUCCAUUGCUAUCCCAAAAAGGAGAAAGGCAGUAGAUCCUUUUUCUCUUCCCCUCCCCUCAAUCUUCACCAUUAUCUUCCCCCUAAAAAACUUCCGUCAAACUUUUGACUUUGCUUCGUCCUCCGUUCUCAUGCCACAUCAAACCAAUUGAACUUAAUUGGAAAGCUGAAGAUUUAACCUCGUCAGGUUAUGAACACAAAUAUACGGAGAUCAAUGGACAUUGCAAACGACCAUUCGCACUGGCUCAACUUCCUCCCUCAAAAGUAUGGGUUCUAAUCCGAAAUGCAUGCUUCCGUCGAUAUUCAUCAUUUCUCUAAUUUCUUCUCACUGCCAAAGGGCAUGCAAUCCUCAUUCACCCAAAUUUUGUUCAGCUUUAAUUGCUCUCUCCAUAGCUUCCCGCCUGGGGCUUGCCAUGUUAAGUAAUGGAGACAUGUUUCUACUCUGCAGCAGGUUGUUUCUGCUCCGCUGGCUUCACCUGAACAGCAUGAACAUAAGGGAACCCAGGUACAAGAUGCGGCUUCCCCGAGGACUGUGCAGCGGCAAACUGAGCAUGGAUAAGACCACCACCUUUCAUAUUGCUUGCUGCUGCAGCAGCAGCAGCAGCUGCUACUGCCUUUGCAGGAUCGGUAGUGGUGGUGUUGGGAAGUGACACAGUAGAACACAACAUCCCAGCUGAGGUAACUGAUGAGCCCUGUGGCUGUUGCUGCUGAUCACUGCGGUGUCUUUGGAAAUAAAAUCCGCUUGCUACUGGCGUUGUAUGCGUUGAACUUGCAGCAUGUUGAACUUGGGCUUGCAUAUAACUGCUAUUGUAUAGCAUCUGGGCCGGCUGCAAAGUAUGCUUUGGUAGUUGCUGCUGCUGCUGUGUCAAUUGAGAUUUGGUAGCAGAGCUAGAUGUAGAGGGGGAGUUAUGGGGAUGGCCAAGAAUUGAAGGAAUAUUUUUCCCACCAACUGGAGAUGAUUUUUGUGCAGGCACUGACGAGGAGUUCUUGCCCUGCUGAGAUGACAGCGUAGAUGAUUGCGCUCCUUUGUUACUUGUGGAAGUGGAAGUUGUCCUUGGGCUCCCACCAGCACUUUUAGAAAUUGACGAAGUUGUUGGAGAGCCAACUACCACAGGAGGAGAAGGUGAUUGGGUACCAUUAGGAGCUGAUUGCCCUUGAGGUGCAGCUGAUGGUUUUGGGUUGGCUGCAAAAGAUAUCUGUGCGUGGCCUUGUGGGACACGGCCUUGCUGUUGGGAAAGGGUUUUUAGGGAUGGUGAUGCGGAGGAAAGAGAUGGGGAAGGAACUUGGGAAGGGGUGGUCCUGACAGAAUUCUUCCACUGCGGAGAAUGAGCUGGACUACUGUUGCUCUGGACAAGAAUUGGAGGAAAUCCAGAUAAUGCAUUAGGGAACUUGGCAGCCAUUGAGGAAGACGAAGAAAUGUGAUCUGUGUACACAAUUCCAUUACUUGUUGCCGGUGUUUUGCUUCGAGCAGAAGCAGUUGGGAAUUGGUGCUGCUUUUGAAGUUGAAUCAUUUGCUGCUGUUGUUGCUGCUGCUGAUUCCGCUGCAGU